This 253-nucleotide ribosomal RNA is filed under the name uncultured bacterium. RNAcentral describes it as "partial 16S ribosomal RNA". It matches the Rfam family "Bacterial small subunit ribosomal RNA", at positions 524 to 776 of the family's 1533-position model. The record is from RNAcentral.
UACAGAGGUCUCAAGCGUUGUUCGGAUUCAUUGGGCGUAAAGGGUGCGUAGGCGGCGAGGUAAGUCGGAUGUGAAAUCCCGGGGCUCAACCCCGGAACUGCAUUCGAUACUGCUUUGCUUGAGUACUGGAGAGGAGACUGGAAUUUACGGUGUAGCAGUGAAAUGCGUAGAUAUCGUAAGGAAGACCAGUGGCGAAGGCGAGUCUCUGGACAGUUACUGACGCUGAGGCACGGAGGCCAGGGGAGCAAACGGG